AAGUCGUAACAAGGUUUCCGUAGGUGAACCUGCGGAAGGAUCAUUGCAAAUCACGUGGAUGGAUUGCGUAAGCAAUCUGUCUCUAAAGCACAGAGUCGACGCACGUCGGUCUCUGAUGUCUGCGCUUGUAUUGUUUGACAGAGUAAUAUGACAAUUUUUAUAACAUUCAACAAUGGAUCUCUUGGCUCUU
Molecule: unclassified non-coding RNA, 190 nt
Filed under: fungal sp.
Lineage: Eukaryota; Fungi
Description: partial contains small subunit ribosomal RNA, internal transcribed spacer 1, and 5.8S ribosomal RNA
Rfam family: Eukaryotic small subunit ribosomal RNA (bases 1-46)
Source: RNAcentral